Molecule: ribosomal RNA, 497 nt
Filed under: uncultured bacterium
Lineage: Bacteria
Description: partial 16S ribosomal RNA
Rfam family: Bacterial small subunit ribosomal RNA
Source: RNAcentral
GAUGAACGCUGGCGGCGUGCCUAAUACAUGCAAGUCGAGCGAACAGACGAGGAGCUUGCUCCUCUGACGUUAGCGGCGGACGGGUGAGUAACACGUGGAUAACCUACCUAUAAGACUGGGAUAACUUCGGGAAACCGGAGCUAAUACCGGAUAAUAUAUUGAACCGCAUGGUUCAAUAGUGAAAGACGGUUUUGCUGUCACUUAUAGAUGGAUCCGCGCCGCAUUAGCUAGUUGGUAAGGUAACGGCUUACCAAGGCAACGAUGCGUAGCCGACCUGAGAGGGUGAUCGGCCACACUGGAACUGAGACACGGUCCAGACUCCUAAGGGAGGCAGCAGUAGGGAAUCUUCCGGAAUGGGCGAAAGCUUGACGGAGCAACGCCGCGUGAGUGAUGAAGGUCUUCGGAUCGUAAAACUCUGUUAUUAGGGAAGAACAAAUGUGUAAGUAACUAUGCACGUCUUGACGGUACCUAAUCAGAAAGCCACGGCUAACUACGUG